GACUAUCAUAUGAGAAGCAACUUUGAUAUUUCCUUUAGUCUCUGCCUUCUAAUCUGUUGGUUCUGUUAUGGCUAUUAAGUAUGGACAGGUGCAGAUUGCUGUGCCUGCAACUUGGUGUUUUGUUUUGUUUUUAACGACGCCUCCCCACCAAGAAGAGUGCAAAAGCACACAGUUUGGCAAUUGUGAAUUCGCAGUUCCCUGGUUUUGAUCAAAUCAGGAGAGAUAAAAAGUGAGGGAUAUUCCUCCCUUCCCGAGCACAUCAGAAAUAUUUAGAAGCACAGCCAAAACAGAAAUGAAAGCUUUGAGGUGUGUGCAGGCAUGGAAAAGAGAAAAGCAGAAAAUGACAAUUGGUUCACAUACCCCGAGUGGAGUGUUUAGGAGCCUGAUGUUCCCCCAAAAUAUCAGAUUAUCAUCAUAUCAGGCAUGGGCAUAGGCGGGGGGGCAGCUGUCCCCCCCAAUGAAUAAAAAUAAAUAAAAAUAUAGACCUGCUUCCCCCCCCCAACAAAAGGCCUCGCUGCACCCAUGAUAUCAGGUAAUCCCAAAUUUAGGGGGGGGAGCAUCAGGAUUGGUGUUUUUUGAGGACUAUGGAUGUGGGCUAUGCAAAUUAAAUGGGACAAGCCCAAGACCUUCACAGAACUUAAGUUUCUUAUCUUUCUAGUGUUAAAGGAAACUGCUGCAAAGGUUAAGUCCACAUGCAUAUUUUUUUCUGCAGAAGUGAAAGUUUCAUUUCUCAGCUUGCAAGUCGGAGAACAGAAACCAAUAGUGCUGCAGUCUUGCUUCAUCGGUGGAAAUAGGCUAGACAUGAGACUGGAGGCGAACCAGCUGGGCUACUGGCCCCAGCCAGGAUGUGCAGCAAAAAGGGCAACAGAGUGUUGAGGAUCACAGCACAAGCCUCAAGGAGAGAGAAAGUGCUGAAGGGAAGCAUGUCUUUGUUCCUGUAACAACUGCCCAACAGACAGAAUGAAGAAGAAGCCCUGCUGGAUCAGACCAUAUGGCCAUUUAAUACAGCCUCCUCACAGCGGCCAACCAGAUGCCUAUAGAACAUAAGCACAAAAGCCCUCUCCCCAUUUCUGCUCCCUGGCAACUGAUAUUUCGAGAGACCAUAAAGAAGAGCCCUGCUUAUGGAUUGAGCCAAAGGGUCUUUGGGUUGCCAUACUUUGAAGAGAAAAAAGAGGACAUAUUUGCCAACAUCUACUUUUAACUAUUUGAGGGACGCGGGUGGUGCUGUGGGUUAAACCACAGAGCCUAGGACUUGCCGAUCAGAAGGUCAGCGGUUCG
Long non-coding RNA from Podarcis muralis (Common wall lizard), 1278 nucleotides. RefSeq lists it as uncharacterized. Lineage: Eukaryota; Metazoa; Chordata; Lepidosauria; Squamata; Lacertidae. The record is from RefSeq and is a predicted model, not a curated record.